CGCGAAGCAACGCUCUGAUCUGCGUCAGAGGAACAACGCGAUUUGACGUCAUCUGUGAACACCUCCGCCAGAGGCAGUGCUUCACACCUUUACACCAACAAAGUCACCUGUGACCCCGGAUGACCCGCCCGGCAUGUAUACGUUCCGGUGUCGCCCUGAGAUCAGUCCUAUUUCGUAUUCUCGCUACUCUGGCAUCCAAACUUGAACGAGCUAAUUCUCUAACAUUGAGGCGUGUUUCGGCUUUCGCGUGUCGCCUUGCGACCAUCGGUCGGACCUGCGGACCUCCCGGCCUCCAAAGGCUGCGGCAAGCUGCCCCUCUUGAGAGGGAAGGACGCGCUUCGCCGGUCUGCUUCGCGGUCCACCCGAAGAGCGAAGACUGCGAUCGGUGAGGUCCAUUCCGAUUAUUUUCAACUCCGCGGUUCCACGGUUGGCAGAUUACUGGGGAUACUAAUUUAACGUUGGUUAGAUCGUACCGUUACUGUCACAACCAAGGGCGUCCCGGUGCGUUUCGCUUAACAAGCGGUUCAUAAAUGGACGGAAACAUAUAUAUUCACAUAAUUUCUGCUGUAUAUGGUUUGCAAGCUUGUAACGCCUAAAUACCGACUGAUGCGUUACUAGUUGACUAGGUCAACAGUAGCACGCUGUUUGUCACAGAUGCCGUUAGUCCUAUAAUCCAGAUUACAUUCAGUUGUUUGGUAAACACUGCGGCCAGGCUCCACAGAAGCAGAGUAUUCCCGUUGGACAUUAAUAUCUGCAGAGAUUUCCUAGUAGGCUGGUUUUGCUUUCGUUCGGCUUGUUCCCCACAGUGGCAGAUUUCUCCCGCUCAGGCUGACUGGUGGGACGCCGACAUCUGCAGAGAUUCCCCAGUGAAGAGUGUCCUCACUCGUCUUCCUCUGUAGGAUUGGGUUUAUUCCAAACGCCGGGCCACAGAGGCCGCAGGGGCUCCCUCAAAAAGGGCCAGCAAGCUGUCCUCGGAUGUAUUUUCAUUCAUCCAUGUACACAGAAAUACGCAUUAAAAUCGGUUCACGGUUUGAUGCAAUACAGUUGAUAAUGUAGGUAAUAAUAAAGCUAAAAAUAUAGUUCAAUCAAAGUGUUUUAUCGUCACACACUCUCUGAUAUUGAUUUUCCACGUAUUGUGUUGCUUGAGUGAACACAGACAGUCCAAUGAGACGCAGUGUAAACGUGUUCACAUCUCCACCAGUUGGUGGCAGAAUACGUGUAUUCAAAGCAUAGAUUUAAUUAUAUUAAACUGUUCAUUUUAUUUAUCUAGGUUAUUACAGACAUAUUUUAUGCAGUUUAUUUUAUGUGAUUUUUAUGGUUCAUUUGCAACCAUUGUUGUAUACAUCUUGUUAUAUGUAUUUCAUGGACGAGGAAACGUGUUUAUUAAGCAAUACGUAAUGGCAGUUUAUGAAUAGCAUUCCGUAACGUCCUGUCUUCAUGCAUGUUUUAGCUGCCCAAUGGCCAAUCUAGAUUGCCCGCAGAAGGCGGGUCUAAGAAAAACUCACCAAUUUAAAUCUGCUUUUAACUUGUAAUCUAAAUGAAAUCCGAAUCCCAAGCCAUAUGGAAUCAGACCGUUAUCUGGGCGUAACGUUGUUUCGUUUGAAACUAGCCAUUGGGUUUGAGUGAGCCACCCAGAAAAAACAUUUCCCAAAGGCUUCCCGGCACCAACAAUUGUGUAAUUUCUUCUAAGCAUCACAACUCACUCUAUCUAGUUUGUCUAACCAAUAGAGUGUGGAUAUCAGUCAUGUACCACAUGACCAUACAUUUUCGUCACUUAAAGGCAAAUUGUAGUCUAAUUGCGAGACUGCUCAAGUGGGAACGCGGAGGAGGACACAGAGAAAGAGGAACACCAUCACUUAAGAUGCAGACUUAUUUUGUAGAUAUUGAACUGCGUGUGCUCUGAGUAGCUUGGCAACAUGAGAGGUUGCACAGCGGUGUGUAACAUACUGCUGCGUAUUAACUGCUGAACUCCGUGUGGGUGUUGAGGGGAACCUGUGAAUAGCAGUGAGUUGGCUGCAAUGCCAUUGGAACAAAAACCCACAUGUGGGAAAAGGCGUCCAUUGCAUCGCUCCCCUCAAUGUUAUGUGAAAAUGAGGUCAUUGUUAAAUGAGCCUGGACUGUUGAAAGCAGUUUUGGUAAUUGCAGGUUGUGAGUGAUUGGAGAACAGACGCGUGCAGGGAAACAUAAAACAAAGGCUUUUCUUUAAAGUUCAGAGCUUUAUUGGUAGUUUAAAAAAAAAACGCAGGAGAAUGCAGCAAAAAGCCCGACACUAUAAAAAGGGAGAGGCCAUAAUGGAACACAAAGUAGUGUGGACUAUAGACGCUCAUUAAACUACUAGUUAACAUAAUGUGGCAAGCCCAUGGGUGGGGGCCUCCACGUGACGGUUCAAGGACUCAAGUCAGUGACAGAGAGCAGUGGAACACAGUUUAUUUGUAAUCAAUCGAGUGUGUAGGAGGAUACGCUCCCCUCGUAACACGUUCUCGACGUCGUCCUGUCCCAGGUCCUACACAGGGGGGGUCAGCUAGUCCAGGUCAAUCCCGAUACUCUUACCCCUCGUUCAGUCUUCUUUUUCUCUCCUUUCCACAUCUUCUCUAUCCCCUCUCUCGUUUUUCCACCCCGUUCAGUGGUUUGUUCCCCUUCUUCCCUGGAUGACUCAACUGCUUCCACUCUCUCCUCGUUAGGCCGGAGGUCCCAACAAGGCUCGGGGGUAUAUGGUAAAUGGUCUGUACUUGUAUAGCGCAUUCACCCAUUCACACCCACCCAUACACUGAUGACAGGAGAACCAUAGACAGUGACACCUGCCCAUCAGUAACUAACAUUCACACACUGUAGUUGCAGCUACAGGAGCAAUGUUGGGUUAAGUGUCUUGCCCAAGGACACAUCAACAUGCGGGUUAGCAGAGCCGGGGAUCGAACCGACAACCCACGGAGAACGACCGUGCUCCCCACUCACCCACAGUCGCCCUUGGAGGGGUGGAGCCAUCUGGCCGCAAUAUACCUCCCCUCCAACAUUAACGCCCUCACCUCUCCCUGUAAUCUACCACAAUAACCAGAUCGUCUGACAGCGGUUGGGUGAACGCUUGGGGCUUAAGGAGUAGUGGGAGCGAAUGAAUGAAUACGGAUGUCGGGGGAAAAAACAGGCAGGAAACUAAACAAAGACAGGAAGUAACUGAUGAGCUGAUCAAUAAACAGAUCAGGCAUGUUGGAUGCCGCCUGAGCUCCUCUGGGCCCUCCUUUUCCUCUAAUACAGAUGCUUUCUUCAAUCAAUGAAUCUUUUUUUUUUCAUUUGAAUUUAAAAUAAUAGGGACUUCUGUCGAAAGCAAGCGUGAUGCAGCUUCAGCAGAAACACAUUUCACGAUGAUGCUUCUUCAGGAUAUUAGUGAACGUUUUUGGGAACCAUCAUCCUUGGGAACACUCUUGAUAAUGGAGACCCUCGAACAGCUUCAUGGUCACAAGCCAGGGUUGGAGAGGAGCUGAAGGGCAGGCUUCCAUGGAAUCACAGCUGUGUGUGUUUGCUCGCAUGUGAUCCAACACUGAACUGUGCAGAAUGUCCAAAGGAAAACAUUUGAUGUCAAAGUAAUCACUUGCUUUAUUAUGCAACUCACAAAUGCCCUCAUCUAAGGAAGCCACGUGCUGUUUGAUGUCUUUUUAACGAUCUCUGUUCACAUACUGGAACUAUAGGAGGAUAUUCAGAAUAUUACCAUGGUAACCAGGAACAUGCUAGAAAACCACAUCAUUGUUCUUCCAACGUUUCCUUUGAUGUAUAUUGUUAGCAUAGCCAAUAAUAUGCAUAGCUGAUGUAUAUUUUCCUGCAAUUAAAAAUUUACUGCAAAUAUAUAUUAUAACAAUUAAGCAAAAGCACAUUUUUUUUGUAAAUUAUAUUUUGAUAAAAUUAUUAUCAAAAUCCGAGUUUGGUUAUACAUUGCAUUGCACUUGACAUGUUUUUACCCCCCCACACACACACUUUACUUCCUACCCCCAAAUCCCCCCCAACACAGAAAAAAUCACUAAGCCUCAAUCGCCAAAAAGCGCAUUAGUAUAUAUGUGGCUUAAGUAUUCACAAAUUACAUAAUUCAUAGGUAGUACAGACAACCAGAAACAAAGAGUGGAUCAUACAUGACCAUUAUGGGUCCAAUGAGAGAGUCUUCAUAUUAUCAGUAUAAGUAUUGUAUGAUCGAGCCACAAGUGGAUUUGCAGUGAAACGUCAUUUUCUCCAACUUUAAAAAGACCACCAGGUCCUUUGCCCACAUGGAGGAGUUGGGAGGGCGAGGUGACGAGCGAAAGCACAUUUAACAAAAAAUUGAAGUUGGAUCAAACAUGUUAGAAAAGUGUCUGCAGACAUCAGACAGUGGCUGAUACUGUAACACAUUGUGAGUAACUGCCCCCUAGUGGCUGAGGACAUUAAACUGGACUGCAUUAACUUAAGUAACAGCAAAUUGAAAAAAAUAAGGUUCUACUUUGAUGCUUCAAGUGUGUUUAACUGUAUUUUUACUUGAGAAUAUGAAUAUUUUUAUAUCUUCCAUCACUACACCUGUCACCAACAUUUUGUGUUCAGAGAUACUAAAUCUCUUUGAAUCUUUCUCCAACGCCACAUUCAGUGGUGGUUUGGCUCCAUCUAAAGUAUGAGGCUUGUCACUGAGAGAGAAAUGAUGGAAAGAAAAGGAAAGAGAGGGAGAGUAAUCCGACAUGCGACUCACUCAAAGACCAGAAUUCUGUAUUUAUACAGCCGGAGGGCAAUGCAGCAAAACACAUGAAACUGUGCUUUGCGCUUUGAAAAUCAGACUCUCCAAUUUAUUUAUUUUAAUUUGAUCUCCUACUUUCAACAGUUAUUUGUAAUCAUUGUUUUUUAACUUACCAAUAACACAUUUUUUUUAAAUAUACAAAGAACAUAUAGGAAAGCUUUAAGGCAAUAAACCACUGAAUUGAAAUAGGUUUGUGACUAUGAGAGUACUACUGUGUAAAAAGUACAACUGAACACAAACCUUUUUAUUAAUCAUGUGAUGUAUUUGCAUCGUGUCCGAGCCAAAUAUUUACUUGCUGUCCAUUUCUGUUUGGCCACAUUGCGUGUGUGUGUGUGUGUGUGUGUUGCAAACAGGCUUCAUGAAACACGUCAGCGAGGAGCCCAGUGAGCAGCGGUGGAACUUAUCGUGUCGUGAUCCAAUAGCAGCAGGACAUUUGUCUCCAGCUUGGGAGUACAUCAGGCUGCUGGUGACCAAAGCAGCAGUGUCGGAAAGUGAUGUGCAAUAAGGCAGCGGAGCAAAGGAGGGAAAUGACUGACCAUGAAAGAAACAUUGCAUCCAGUUUUUCCAAAAUUGUUGCUUUUUACUGAAUCUAUGGGAAGGUAACGUGUUUGCUUAUGUGUGUAUCUCUUGUCGGCUCACUGCUAAUCUUACAGAAGAAAGUUUUGAAAAAACGUAUCCUGUGGUUUUUAUUGACAGCUCACUCUUCC
This is a long non-coding RNA of Gasterosteus aculeatus aculeatus (three-spined stickleback), 5448 nucleotides long. The record is from Ensembl. Lineage: Eukaryota; Metazoa; Chordata; Actinopteri; Perciformes; Gasterosteidae.